RNAcentral lists this long non-coding RNA (834 nucleotides) under Gossypium barbadense (sea-island cotton). RNAcentral's name for it is "long non-coding RNA (GBAR_LNC008034)". Lineage: Eukaryota; Viridiplantae; Streptophyta; Magnoliopsida; Malvales; Malvaceae. The record is from RNAcentral.
AUCACAAGAGGGAGGAAAUCAAGCUAACUUCCUUGUUAAAAUUAGCAAGGAAGCAAUCACUCUUCCAUCAAACAAGGGACGACAUAUAAAUGGAGAAAUUAGGGGGAUUCAUUUGCUAUUUUUGGCAUGGGAGGUUAAAGCAUCAUCAAUUAUAAAUUGGGAUUUCAUUCUUCAUCAAAGAAAGCACACAACACACCAUCAGAUAUCAAGUUUUUCGUAAGUGCUAUUGCCUUUCUCAUGGCUUGUUAAACACUUGGCUUUCACAAAAUAAGGCAAUCACUUGUUGAAUAAGAACAACUAAGAGAAUUACUUGAAGACAUAUAGAUGAUUUAGCAUAAAGACGAGGAGGGGAGCCACCAUGGAAAGCCGCAAGAAGAAGUCGUAAAUAAUCCCAUAUAGUCAACUAUUUACUCUUCUUAUUGUGAAAUGGUCGUAAAUAGCCCCCAUCGGCUACUCUCUCCUACCUUUCUCUUUACUGUUAAUUGUUGUUUUCUAUUUCAAGAGACAAGAUUGCAUCUCAUCUUUAUGUUUUCAAUUUAAUAUGACAUAACUUAAUUUUGUUUAUUCAAAAUGGAUAUGAAUCUUGAUUUGAAUUAAUUGGUUUUUGUUUUCUAAAUAAUUUUUGCAAAUGAUUAUUUCAUUCAUUUAGGUUUAAUUAAUUAUUAUACUUGUAAAUAUAUGGCCAACAUUUGUAUGUUAAUGAAUUAACUAUUUAAUUUGGGAAGAGAUAAUAGUUAAUAGAAAAAAGACCUAAAUGGUGCAUAUCAUGUCAAUUUCGGAAGAUAAUUGUCGUAUGCAUAUAUUGUUUAAAUGCCUGAAAAGGUGAUUUCUAGG